Molecule: ribosomal RNA, 405 nt
Filed under: Salmonella enterica subsp. enterica serovar Typhimurium
Lineage: Bacteria; Pseudomonadati; Pseudomonadota; Gammaproteobacteria; Enterobacterales; Enterobacteriaceae
Description: partial 23S ribosomal RNA
Rfam family: Bacterial large subunit ribosomal RNA
Source: RNAcentral
AAUCCAUAGGUUAAUGAGGCGAACCGGGGGAACUGAAACAUCUAAGUACCCCGAGGAAAAGAAAUCAACCGAGAUUCCCCCAGUAGCGGCGAGCGAACGGGGAGGAGCCCAGAGCCUGAAUCAGCAUGUGUGUUAGUGGAAGCGUCUGGAAAGGUGCGCGAUACAGGGUGACAGCCCCGUACACAAAAGCGCAUGUGCUGUGAGCUCGAUGAGUAGGGCGGGACACGUGGUAUCCUGUCUGAAUAUGGGGGGACCAUCCUCCAAGGCUAAAUACUCCUGACUGACCGAUAGUGAACCAGUACCGUGAGGGAAAGGCGAAAAGAACCCCGGCGAGGGGAGUGAAAAAGAACCUGAAACCGUGUACGUACAAGCAGUGGGAGCACCCUUCGGGGUGUGACUGCGUAC